GUCGUUGUAGUAUAGUGGUGAGUAUCCCGCCUGUCACGCGGGGAGACCCGGGUUCGAUCCCCGGCAACGGCG
RNAcentral lists this transfer RNA (72 nucleotides) under Ipomoea nil (Japanese morning glory). It matches the Rfam family "tRNA". Rfam says of the family: Transfer RNA (tRNA) molecules are approximately 80 nucleotides in length. Their secondary structure includes four short double-helical elements and three loops (D, anti-codon, and T loops). Lineage: Eukaryota; Viridiplantae; Streptophyta; Magnoliopsida; Solanales; Convolvulaceae. The record is from Rfam by way of RNAcentral.